Canis lupus familiaris (dog) is the source of this 1334-nucleotide long non-coding RNA. RefSeq lists it as uncharacterized. The record is from RefSeq and is a predicted model, not a curated record. NCBI's taxonomy places the organism in Eukaryota, Metazoa, Chordata, Mammalia, Carnivora, Canidae. The transcript has 3 exons.
AGAAUGACAUAACAAUCAGGGGCCCUAGAACAUAAAACAAGGAUGAAGGAUGGUUUGCAAGCACUCUGCUCUUCUGCAUACUGAGCCCAACACGAGACCCCCCUCGCCCCGCCCAGAGAGAAGCACCCACCGAAUGCGACCGGGGAAAGAAACAGGGAAAACCUGGACUUGUUCAUAAGCAGAACCAAAGGUGCCACAGAGAGGCGAGUUUAAGAAAAAAUAGGCUAGAGAAUGCCCCACUGUUAAAAGAAGUUUCUUGAGAAGUCCCCAUUUGGAAAUGGGGAAAGGAACUAUAGCAGAAGAAUGUCUUUGGACAAGUGGAAGAAAACACUGGGAAGGUCAACAGAUGCCUUUUCCUGUGAACAAGAUGUAGAGGGAAAAGGAUGGAUUUCUACCCCCUCCCUCCUGCCACUAUUUCUUUGUCAUCAUUUCCCCUCUGCUUGUCUUGGGGGUUUUGUACUUCAAUUUCCAGCAUUACUCCUAGACCUGUGGUUUUAAAACACUCAUCUCCAAAACCAACCUCUGCCUCUCUACUUGCAAGGAGCUUCAGCUAGUUCUCUAACGCUGGUCAGGAGGUAUCCCCAGUAGGACACUUAAUCCCUCCGACAUCUCACCAUCUCUCAAACUAGCUCUUCUUUCCAAAUAUGCCAUUUCAGAAGUAUCCCAUUCUCAGCUUGCCUUUGUCUUGGAACGUCCAUAUUCUUUAGACUCAAUGUUUUCCAUAUCUUCUCUCUUUUCCUCCUCACUGCCAUCUCCUAGCAGUUUUGAAUGAUCAACGGACACAUGAAGUGUCUUUAAGAUUUAGCUCUUUUCAAAUCACUCUCAAAACAUACAGUUAUUCAGAUUUGAAACUACUGUCGCUCUUCAAGAACUCUCUCAGGAAUCAAAUAAAAUCCAAAUUACUUUACCUGGUUGUCCUAUGACCUUCCAUAAUGUGUAUUUACUUUACCUCUCCUGCUGUAUUUCCCGCUAAUUCCCAACAUAUGGGUAUAGUAGCACGGUGCACGAUCUAGCACCUGAUAAACAGUGAGUUUUGCCACAGGUAAGUUCCUGCCAUGCCAACAUCUUGAUUCCUGUCGGCCUGGAGGCUACGUAAAGGAUACUGGGCGUAUUGUCCAUCGGCCCUUGUUGAUUCAAAAUGUUACCAUGUUCUGCGUGUGCCAUGAUGUGAAAAAAGUUAGGGAACACUGGUGUGGUUGUGAAAAGUGCAAUCAGCCUUAGAUACAUGGUUCUGCCUCUAUCUAUGUCAGUUAAAGUACUUGAUCUCUUGUGUUUUCAAGUUCUUAAUCAAUAAAGUAGGAAAAUAGCAGUGUCUACACUUCAUAGGAAUAUUA